This 459-nucleotide ribosomal RNA is filed under the name uncultured bacterium. RNAcentral describes it as "bacterial SSU rRNA". It matches the Rfam family "Bacterial small subunit ribosomal RNA", at positions 29 to 533 of the family's 1533-position model. The record is from RNAcentral.
AACGAACGCUGGCGGCAGGCCUAACACAUGCAAGUCGGACGAACCCUUCGGGGUUAGUGGCGGACGGGUGAGUAACGCGUGGGAAUAUACCCUUUGGUACGGAAUAGCCUCGGGAAACUGAGAGUAAUACCGUAUGUGCCCUUCGGGGGAAGAUUUAUCGCCAAAGGAUUAGCCCGCGUUGGAUUAGGUAGUUGGUGGGGUAAUGGCCUACCAAGCCGACGAUCCAUAGCUGGUUUGAGAGGAUGAUCAGCCACACUGGGACUGAGACACGGCCCAGACUCCUACGGGAGGCAGCAGUGGGGAAUCUUAGACAAUGGGGGAAACCCUGAUCUAGCCAUGCCGCGUGAGUGAUGAAGGCCUUAGGGGUUGUAAAGCUCUUUCAGAUGGGAAGAUAAUGACGGUACCAUCAGAAGAAGCCCCGGCUAACUCCGUGCCAGCAGCCGCGGUAAGUCACAUGUG